Molecule: ribosomal RNA, 398 nt
Filed under: uncultured bacterium
Lineage: Bacteria
Description: partial 16S ribosomal RNA
Rfam family: Bacterial small subunit ribosomal RNA
Source: RNAcentral
AUACGUAGGGGGCGAGCGUUGUCCGGAAUUACUGGGCGUAAAGAGCUCGUAGGUGGUUUGUCGCGUCGUCUGUGAAAUUCCGGGGCUUAACUCCGGGCGUGCAGGCGAUACGGGCAUAACUUGAGUACUGUAGGGGAGACUGGAAUUCCUGGUGUAGCGGUGAAAUGCGCAGAUAUCAGGAGGAACACCGGUGGCGAAGGGGGGUCUCUGGGCAGUAACUGACGCUGAGGAGCGAAAGCAUGGGUAGCGAACAGGAUUAGAUACCCUGGUAGUCCAUGCCGUAAACGGUGGGCGCUAGGUGUAGGGGUCUUCCACGACUUCUGUGCCGUAGCUAACGCAUUAAGCGCCCCGCCUGGGGAGUACGGCCGCAAGGCUAAAACUCAAAGGAAUUGACGGGG